Molecule: ribosomal RNA, 254 nt
Filed under: uncultured bacterium
Lineage: Bacteria
Description: partial 16S ribosomal RNA
Rfam family: Bacterial small subunit ribosomal RNA
Source: RNAcentral
UACGUAGGUGGCAAGCGUUUGUCCGGAAUUAUUGGGCGUAAAGCGCGCGCAGGCGGUCUUUUAAGUCUGAUGUGAAAGCCCACGGCUCAACCGUGGAGGGUCAUUGGAAACUGGGAGACUUGAGUGCAGAAGAGAAGAGCGGAAUUCCACGUGUAGCGGUGAAAUGCGUAGAGAUGUGGAGGAACACCAGUGGCGAAGGCGGCUCUUUGGUCUGUAACUGACGCUGAGGCGCGAAAGCGUGGGGAGCGAACAGG